Molecule: non-coding RNA, 440 nt
Organism: Macaca mulatta (Rhesus monkey)
Lineage: Eukaryota; Metazoa; Chordata; Mammalia; Primates; Cercopithecidae
Source: RefSeq, a predicted model, not a curated record
AUGGCAUAGCUGGAAACUCGUGUUUUCCUCUAACUAUAAAUACAUUAGCCACUAUGUUAAAAUAUUUUUUUUUUUUCUGUCGUCAGUGAAAAUUCUGAUUAAAAAAGGAAGAUAGUAACAUGCAUAAGUUGUAUCCCUACAAGGGAUACAUCUGUCUGUGUUUGGGGUAGUCAUGGAGCUGAUUAAUAGUUGGAGCCUGGCAAUUAGAACUUUUUUGAGUCUGCUAGACGGAGCUGGAAAUAUACUUCGCUAAGAGGAGCAGUGAAAUCGACUCAAAGCUCCAACUCUUCCUGUCUGCCACCUCUGCACGCUCCUCCAGAUACUUUCUGCAUCCACACUACCACCUUCCAAUUCUGCCUCUGAAAGAGAGGCCUACAAAACAGGAAAUUGCCACUCCUAUUUCCAGGAUCUCACUUUGUCACCCCAGCUGGAGUGUAGCA